RNA transcript from Arachis ipaensis, 1626 nucleotides. RefSeq lists it as uncharacterized. NCBI's taxonomy places the organism in Eukaryota, Viridiplantae, Streptophyta, Magnoliopsida, Fabales, Fabaceae. The record is from RefSeq and is a predicted model, not a curated record.
UCAUACAUACACUUCACUUUUAUUUCCAAAUUCACUUUAACCUUAGCUAGAAGCCGUCGCACCCAGCAGCACUGUUCAUUACUGUCGAUCGUGAUGACUGUCACACCACCCAACUCACCUUCAUGUUCAUCCCAGCCCUUCAUCUAACCUUCACACCCAGCCCUCUCUCUGUCGCACCCUAGUUAUUUCUCAACAGUCUCUCGCACCAUCAACCCUGCUUCAUCCACGCACCCAAGAAUCAGCAUUGCUCCGUCAACGCACCCUCGUUUGAUUCGGAACCCUCCAUCAGUUCUGCUCCGUCCACACACCCAGGAAUCGGCGUGCCCUCCUACUCCAUCAGUGGUCUCUCUCUCACAAACCCUCGUUGGAUUCAGAACCCUCAAUCGUUGCUGUCUCUCCCUCAAUCGGCACCGUAAACACUGCCUGUCUAGAUUCUAUUGAAGAUGUUAAUAUGAGAAAUGAGACCGCUGGCUGCCCAGCAUUGAUAAACUUAAAAGCCUUUCAAGAACUGCUUGGUUGGCUCAAGCGGAAUACCCGCAAAGGUGCUUAUUGUUUAGAACACUCCAUCUUGAAUUGGAAGGAUUUAGCUGGCAACACCAUUUUGCACGUAGCAGCACUCAAUGAUAACAAUCAGUGUAACUCAGGUUUCUAAGUCUAACCACAAGCUGAAUCUAAAUCUGAACUUUUCAUUUGCGACAAAGUCGAUGAAAGAAGAAGUAUGGUCUACUCUUGCUUGCCGUUAAUGUCCCAUAUUUUUACUUACAUACAUGGAAUACCACCUCAUUGAGAUUUUUCAAAUCCUGAAGGAGCAAAGAGACAAUUUCUGCAUUCAAGUUGUUGCUUUUGCUACACGUGAGAAUGCACAGUCUUUGAAUUGCAAUAUGCGGCCUCUUUGGCAUUGAACAACUAAACUGAUAUGGGGAACUCAACACAAUAUGAAGACAAUGUUUCUCAACCCAUGGUGGAAAAGGAAAGCUGAGGCGUCAAGGUUGCUUAUAGCUGAAUGCUUACUAUAAGCAAAUGGAAGAAACUUGACUAUGAAAUAUAAAGAAAUGAGGAGCUCUUGCAUUGAGUGAAAUUAGCAACAAGAGGUUAAUGGCUGAGAAUGCCAGUGGAAAGUGGUUAAUGGCACAAUCCAUUCUUAGAGAAUAGAUCGAGACAUUUUAAAUAUCAGAUUCUUUUUUAAGUUAUUUAAUUUUAUUUUUUGCUGAGAGGGAUAAAAUCAUUAAGAAUAAAUUGUUUUUUCUCACAUUCCCUCAACUAUAUCAUCAAAUGGUAUAUUUGCUCACAAAACCUGUGUCAAAUUGUCUUUGUAAAGUUGAGUCCAAACACACUUUUCAUGUAUUUUGCAAAUGCAUUUGGAGCAUCGCAUUUGAGGUAUGAACUGGAAUUGAUUAGCAUAUUAAGAAGGUUCUGUGUAUUAUUAUGCACUAAGAGAAAGCUGAUUCUUACAUGCUUAUAGGGAAGCUUGCAUUAAGAAUAUCUUUCAUACAUGCUAUUUUUCAAGAAUUAUGAGUGUUCUUGUUGAUUGUGGAUGUAUUUCAACUAAUUCAAUGCAUAAUCUGAUUUUUUUAUUUUAUAUUCUAGGAGGUUCAAGCUUCAGCUAAGGAGGCAGCUGAAACAGUG